CAAAAUUAUGAUCGUCCUUAUGAGAUUAAUAAAAGUGGUAAUUGCAUAGAAAUUAGGAGAUAAAAAGUCAUAAUUACAGCAUAAAAUGUAGAAAGUAUGACAAACAAAUAUAAUAAUUGUCAGAUAAGUCUAAUUAAAGUAGAAAUAAAGUCAACUCAAAUUAGUCAUUAUAGAAUAAAAAGACAUAACUGCGACAAUAAAGCAAAACCUCAUAAUACACAACAAUCAAGACAACAAUAUUUACUUCUAUUUCUUUAUUUCAACAAAACAAGAGGCUACAUACAUUUAAGAAAGAUUGCUUUGCAAAAACAUCAAAUGGCUCAUAGCAUCAUAAACCAAACCCAGUUCAAUAUUAACAAGAAGACAUUUGUACAAUAUAAAACCUCUGUAAUCUCAAAAUAAUCUGUGAAAGUCGGACAGAAAGAAAACAAUUCAGUAGAAAGAUAAGAGUUUGGUUUCUGUGUCUGUAGUGAUUAGUCAAUGUGCGUAUCUCUGGUUAGGUUAGUAUUCUGAGAGAAAAUGGACUGUUAAACGGUCGCCGCGUUUGUUUGACCUGCAAACAUUUUUCAGUGAACACCUGAGGGACAAGAAACAUGACGUUACUGCGAGUCGAUGAGGUUUUUUGGUAGAAUCCUAACAACUUCAGACCUCGAACGUUCUUUGAAAAACAUCAACUUCCUAUGGAUUUUGUCUUGUUAAAAGAACAACUAGAAGUUCCCUCGUGAAGAAACCUGAAGAAACACUAAAGAGGAGGUAUAUCAGGAACUAUAUCCAUCAAUAAAGAGAUCACGUGCGAUAAAUGCAAAGACAUUUACUUUUACUAUAAUAAAUGAAGAUUGCUCUGCAACUUGUUAAUACAAAAACCAACAUAACAGUGAAAUGCAAAGUCUGUUUGAGAUGCUACGGAUAAAAGUACUGCCACUGAAAAGAUGCGAACGGCAUAAGUUCGAACUAAAUGCGACGCACGAUAGUGAGGAAAAGUGAGGUAGAAACACUGAGUAUGUAAACCAAAACACUGAAUAGAAAUGAUUUCUAACUAACAGAAGGAAAACUAUUUCUCGCUGGCUUUACCUGGUACAAAUGUCCAGUUCACAGGAAAAAAUAGUGACUAGCUUCUAAUUGCGACCUUUUAUGUAGGUAUUUUAAGUAGUUCACCUUAAAAAUCGACCUUUCCAGAUGUACAGUAGAUGAGCUUGUUUCUUCAUGGGAACAGAUUUGGAGAAAUGCUCUGCAGUGAAUGGGUGCCUGAUGCAAUGCUAGAUGAAGAAACAAACUCAUCUAUAUCUUGGAUGGCCUGAAAGUGAGUACAUUUUCGGCAAAACUAUUCUUUCAACCUUGAAUGUGAGUACAAUUAACAUGCAUCUUUAAAUUUAAAGCAAAUACUGAAGACAUUUUUUUUCACAAAGGUCUGUAUCUGAGAUCUGGCAGAGCUCUAAAGUAUGUGGUAGUGUGUUUGGGUCAAACAGAACUGAAGAGAAUUCAAGCUACAGUGACUCAACGGCACCCAUAGAAACAGAAUCAUGCAACAUUCCGUUUGGAAUCACACGAUGUGAGGCGCUACAUUUCAAACAAUUCAAACUGGUCCAUUCCAACCGAACCAAAACACUCCAGACAAUGUGAAUGUAACGCCCGUUUUAAAGCUUUUUUUGAUGUGAAGAGCCAAAAGGAAAUCAGACAUUUUGCUACAACAAUGUGAAGUCAGAUGAAAACCAAGGCUAACGACAACAAAACUCAUUUGAUCCCUCACCAAAUUAAUAUUUACACAACGUCAACAGUCGAGCCUGCAUAGAAAAUCAAAUAAUCUCCUGUUCAACGGCAUUGGUGCAAAUAAUAGUCUGCUUUUUGUUUAUACCCGAUCUAUAUCUAGACAAAGUGGCUAAAAAUGGGAUGAUUUGGACUAAAGAAAAUUAAGUUAUUUGACAAAACUUGUAAAUGCAUCACAGGAUCUUGUCAAAGGAAUAUUAUAAAUAUAUAUAUAUAUAUAUAUAAUGCUUGAGAGAACUGUAAUCUUAAACCAAAAUGGUGACAUUUCAAAUAAAAAAAAAUUUAAAUUUAAAAUGAGAACCAAUCCAAACACUUUCUAAAAAUGUAAAAAUAAGGCACAAAGGGUGUGUGUGUGUUUUUUUUUUUUUUUUAAAGAGGUGCUGUUUUUAGGGUCAGAAACAUUCACACCUACAGGAGAGACGGGUCACUAUGCACCCAGUCAUUCACAUUAUAUCGUUCACAGUAUGUGAUUGUGAGUUUUAUAAUAACUUCCUUCUCUGUUGUUCUGUGAAUAUUUUAGAGCAUUGAACAACAUUCGCUCGAUCCUAGUGCUGCAUUACGAACAUCUAACUAUUUACAUCUGUACUGUCUGGUAAACGUUAGGUAGUUUUCACAGAGGUGCAGACGGGAUAUGUUUGUUUGAGGACAUAGUGCAACGUGUGUGUCUAAAUCUGGUCCAAAACAACAGCACAAUCACAGCAGAGCACGAGAGGGACGUGAAAACAUUGCUGGUGAGAUCUGAGCAGGAAAACGCACGGUCAGUUUGGAAGACUUGCAUGAGGAUCUGGAGUAGAAAAUGAGCGUGUUAAUAAAAUAGCAUUUCCUUGUGAGGGGGUUUAAAUAUAGAUAUCAAGUCAUUUAAUUUCACUUCUGCUUUUUGGAAACGGUCACAAAAUGAAAUUCACAGUUCCUGGAUCCGCUGUCCCUUUUCAUUUCCAUCGCUGGGCAAACCUG
Onychostoma macrolepis is the source of this 2718-nucleotide long non-coding RNA. RefSeq lists it as uncharacterized. The transcript has 2 exons. The record is from RefSeq and is a predicted model, not a curated record. Lineage: Eukaryota; Metazoa; Chordata; Actinopteri; Cypriniformes; Cyprinidae.